GGACGUAUGUCGAAAUCGAAUAUCAACCAUUGCUCGUACACACCGGGGUGGAAUGACAGGAACGACACACUCAACUGGCUUUUCAUCAUCGAUCUCUGCAUGAGGAGGUUGGGAACUGUUUCUACAAGAGGGCAAAGAAAUGGCAUCACAUAGUCCUUAAAUAUGCCGCCACCACCAUAGCUUCUUGAACAGCUGUCUGGUUUUCUAGAUUUGCCAGAACAACCAC
Molecule: long non-coding RNA, 226 nt
Organism: Sinocyclocheilus rhinocerous
Lineage: Eukaryota; Metazoa; Chordata; Actinopteri; Cypriniformes; Cyprinidae
Exons: 3
Source: RefSeq, a predicted model, not a curated record